GCACCACAAGCGCGUGGAGCAUGUGGCUUAAUUUGACUCAACACGGGAAAUCUUACCGGGUCCGGACAUACCGAGGAUUGACAGACUGUUAACUGCAACACAAGCUGCUAAGUUUUAAACUUAAUAGCUCUUUCAUGAUUAUAUGAUAGGUGGUGCAUGGCCGUUCUUAGUUCGUGGAGUGAUCUGUCUGCUUAAUUGCGUUUCAAAAUUUAAACCUGAGCGACAAGGUGCUGCUAUCGAAACUGUCUUUGAGUGUGAACUAUAAGUCUUUUGACUUAUGACCAUCACUCUAGACGUUUAUGUUUUGGUGUUGGCCCUUGAUGCUCAUUUGAACGCAACGGACGUGAUUGCAACCCCUUGUUGAGAUUUAUCCGAUCUCUACGUUCACUGAACCACACUCUUUAGCGAGAGCAGUGGGGAUGUGGAUAAACU
This 432-nucleotide ribosomal RNA is filed under the name Globigerinoides elongatus. RNAcentral describes it as "SSU rRNA". It matches the Rfam family "Eukaryotic small subunit ribosomal RNA", at positions 1164 to 1389 of the family's 1831-position model. The record is from RNAcentral. Lineage: Eukaryota; Foraminifera; Rotaliida; Globigerinidae.